UACACGACCGUACCGCAAACCGACACUGGUGCGGGAGAUGAGUAUUCUAAGGCGCUUGAGAGAACUCAGGAGAAGGAACUCGGCAAAUUGACACCGUAACUUCGGAAGAAGGUGUGCCUUUAGUAGGUGAACCAUUUACUUGGGGAGCCCAAUGAGGCUGCAAAAAAUCGGUGGCUGCAACUGUUUAUUAAAAACACAGCACUCUGCUAAGAUGAAAGUCGACGUAUAGGGUGUGACGCCUGCCCGGUGCUGGAAGAUUAAAUGAUGGGGUGCAAGCUCUUGAUUGAAGUCCCAGUAAACGGCGGCCGUAACAAUAACGGUCCUAAGGUAGCGAAAUUCCUUGUCGGGUAAGUUCCGACCUGCACGAAUGGCGUAAUGAUGGCCACACUGUCUCCUCCUGAGACUCAGCGAAGUUGAAAUGUUUGUGAUGAUGCAAUCUCCCCGCGGAAAGACGGAAAGACCCCAUGAACCUUUACUGUAGCUUUGUAUUGGACUUUGAACAGAUCUGUGUAGGAUAGGUGGGAGGCUUUGAAGUGUGGUCGCUAGAUCGCAUGGAGCCAACGUUGAAAUACCACCCUGGUGUGUUUGAGGUUCUAACCUAGGUCCAUUAUCUGGAUCGGGGACAGUGCAUGGUAGGCAGUUUGACUGGGGCGGUCUCCUCCCAAAGUGUAACGGAGGAGUUCGAAGGUACGCUAGGUACGGUCGGACAUCGUGCUAAUAGUGCAAUGGCAUAAGCGUGCUUAACUGCGAGACUGACAAGUCGAGCAGAUGCGAAAGCAGGACAUAGUGAUCCGGUGGUUCUGUAUGGAAGGGCCAUCGCUCAACGGAUAAAAGGUACUCUGGGGAUAACAGGCUGAUACCGCCCAAGAGUUCAUAUCGACGGCGGUGUUUGGCACCUCGAUGUCGGCUCAUCUCAUCCUGGGGCUGUAGCCGGUCCCAAGGGUAUGGCUGUUCGCCAUUUAAAGAGGUACGUGAGCUGGGUUUAAAACGUCGUGAGACAGUUUGGUCCCUAUCUUCCGUGGGCGCUGCAGAUUUGAGGAAGCCUGCUCCUAGUACGAGAGGACCGGAGUGGACGAACCUCUGGUGUAUCGGUUGUCACGCCAGUGGCAUUGCCGAGUAGCUAAGUUCGGAAGAGAUAACCGCUGAAAGCAUCUAAGCGGGAAACUCGUUUCAAGAUUAGAUCUGCCGGGGCCUUGAGCCCCCUAAAGAGUCGUUCAAGACCAGGACGUUGAUAGGUCAGGUGUGGAAGCG
Molecule: ribosomal RNA, 1251 nt
Filed under: metagenome
Description: bacterial LSU rRNA
Rfam family: Bacterial large subunit ribosomal RNA
Source: RNAcentral